UCUGUUCCCGGACCACUCCUGGCUGAGGGUCGUGUCUAUUUCAAAGACUGCUCGG
Molecule: ribosomal RNA, 55 nt
Filed under: Ips sexdentatus
Lineage: Eukaryota; Metazoa; Arthropoda; Insecta; Coleoptera; Curculionidae
Also listed under: 1 other name
Description: partial 5.8S ribosomal RNA
Source: RNAcentral